UACGAAGGGGGCUAGCGUUGUUCGGAAUUACUGGGCGUAAAGCGCGCGUAGGCGGCUUAGCAAGUCAGGGGUGAAAUCCCACAGCUCAACUGUGGAAUUGCCUUUGAAACUGCUAAGCUUGAGUGUCGGAGGGGAUAGCGGAAUUGCUAAUGUAGAGGUGAAAUUCGUAGAUAUUAGCAGGAACACCGGUGGCGAAGGCGGCUAUCUGGACGACAACUGACGCUGAGGCGCGAAAGCGUGGGGAUCAAACAGG
RNAcentral lists this ribosomal RNA (253 nucleotides) under uncultured bacterium. RNAcentral's name for it is "partial 16S ribosomal RNA". It matches the Rfam family "Bacterial small subunit ribosomal RNA", at positions 524 to 776 of the family's 1533-position model. The record is from RNAcentral.